Ictalurus punctatus (channel catfish) is the source of this 458-nucleotide long non-coding RNA. Lineage: Eukaryota; Metazoa; Chordata; Actinopteri; Siluriformes; Ictaluridae. The record is from Ensembl.
GGUUCCUCAAGGGUUCUUCGGAUGGUUAAAGUUUCUAUAGUUCUAAACGGGUUCUACUGUCACUUACCGAGGUGUUCUGUGGAUGUAUGAUUAUUUUAUUUUUCAAUUAAAGGACGAAAAGUCGGAGAAGUGCUAAUGGUUCCUCAAGGAGCCCAUGGAAACAUUUGAAGUACAGAUGUGGGAUCCAGUUCCGCAAUGCUCCCCGUGAUGCUCCUUGAACAUCUCCACUAAGGCUUUGUUUCUUUAACAGUUCCAGGUUGGAGCUUUUAAAGGUUUAACGCGGCCAGGUUUUCAGAACGAUAAGCGGAACCUUCGUUCUGCAUAAAAGAUAAACCAACAUGAAGAUCAGAGAGCUGUCUAUGGAUGAAAAUCAAGCCAUUUUGAAGCAGAGAAAAGAGGGAACGUCUAGCGGCGGCACUGCACAAACACUGGGCACAGCCAGUACGACUAUUUGGAAU